GGCAUCCUUCUGCUGGACAUUUCAUGUCAAACCAACAAAGUCUUGGCAUCCAACUUGCACAGCUUAGUCGAGAUGCUUCUGCUGCUGGUGCAGCUCGCCGUCUGACAAGAAUGUGGAAAUCGUAUCAGUUGGGGUUGCAGGAAAAUCUGAUACUAAUCGUGUGAAAAAGUAUUUUCGUCUAGAGUUUCUUGACAAGGAGC
Molecule: unclassified non-coding RNA, 200 nt
Filed under: Hevea brasiliensis (rubber tree)
Lineage: Eukaryota; Viridiplantae; Streptophyta; Magnoliopsida; Malpighiales; Euphorbiaceae
Source: RNAcentral